CUCCUCUCAGGUUUGCACCUGGAGAGUUUCCAGUACUCUACCAGCCUUGACAAUGGGAGGGAGAGUCAAGCAGAAGCAUAUCCAUUCCAUUCUUAGCCUGGGCAGUGGCUAGCGAGUGGAAGGCGAUCUGCUACAAGU
RNAcentral lists this small nucleolar RNA (138 nucleotides) under Ornithorhynchus anatinus (platypus). Lineage: Eukaryota; Metazoa; Chordata; Mammalia; Monotremata; Ornithorhynchidae. The record is from RNAcentral.